This is a long non-coding RNA of Hippocampus comes (tiger tail seahorse), 817 nucleotides long. RefSeq lists it as uncharacterized. NCBI's taxonomy places the organism in Eukaryota, Metazoa, Chordata, Actinopteri, Syngnathiformes, Syngnathidae. The transcript is spliced from 2 exons. The record is from RefSeq and is a predicted model, not a curated record.
GAGAAAAAUCCCUGAUCUAAUUCACUCAACACUCCUACGGCGCCUUCGCUUCUUACACAACAGCCGCCCCCUCUUGGAGUGCGAGUGCGUCUGUGUGAGCGUGUGUGACGCAUAGUAGGGAGACGACACGGCGUCCUACACAUUUGAACCGACAGACACACACACACACACACACACAUGCUGUCACCAAAGGCAAGUCAAUGUAUAAACCCCACACAGGCGCUCGGAGAAGAGGAGAGCAGGCGGGACGUCAAGAAGUAAAGACGGAGUCAGACGGAGAAGGCAAAAAAAGCAAGCGACGGAGUAAUAAGUGGAGAAAUGUGACCGUUAUCACCAUUAAUUGACUCUGACUGGAGGCUGAAUUUGGGCUCUGAAUAAUGUGGGAAGCGUGAGGGUCAAAUGGACGAAAUGCCCUCAAAGGAUCAACUAAGCGCGUGUGAUUCCGGAGUUCUUUUCUGCGUCACACGUGCCCUGACGUCGCGGCAUCGUCAGGUUACUUCUUCCCCCUCACUGAGCACCUUUCAAGAAGCAGUUGCCAUGGCAGCAGCGGAGGAAGGCGCUCACGGCGCCGUGACGUUUGGCAUACGCAACGCCCCCGUUCACUCAAGACCAUGGCAGGGAAAAAAAAAAAAAAAAAAAAGAAAUAAAACUCCUCGCAGCCCUCCAACACAUCAAGCGGUAUAAAAGCUGUCUGUCAUGCUCCACUUGCUGCUUCUGCCCCAAGCACCCACACACAAGGGCCUACGCUGGCAAAAAAAAAAAAUCCUCUGAUUACACAUACAAGCACAAAACGAGUGCCGUUUUUAGAUGAAAGUUG